This 797-nucleotide long non-coding RNA is filed under the name Eutrema salsugineum. Its description in RNAcentral is "long non-coding RNA (ESAL_LNC001451)". Lineage: Eukaryota; Viridiplantae; Streptophyta; Magnoliopsida; Brassicales; Brassicaceae. The record is from RNAcentral.
AUCAAUAGAAUUCCCAAUUUUCGCUUCAUCUCCUCCUGCGCAUACGAAACGUCCUGCUUCAAAGCAUCUUCUCCCAGCCAUAACCUCUUCGGUUUCAAUCUCUUUUAAUCUCCAAUACCUUCCCGAUGUCUGAUUUUAACACCCAGUAACUUAAUUGUAGACUUGACUCAGUUUCAUUAUCUUCACUUCAGUUCUAAAUAUGGUUUCCAGUUCCAUCAUCAGACUUGCUCAUCGAUAUUAAUAGUUAUAUGCUAUGAUUUCAGGUCUAAUCCAAACUCCUAACGGUCUACGAUGAGAAAAAGCAAGAGACUAGCAUAUCGUCUGGUCUACCGUCUUGGAUUGCCCUUCUCAGAUUUCGAUACCGCAGGUUUCGUUAACGAACAGGCCCAUCGUAAUCUAAUCGGUGUCUCCACCGUCUUGAAUCGACCUUCUCAGACUUCGAUAUGACAAAAAAGGAGUAAAUAUGUCUGGGUCACAUGAAGAAUCAAAACACCGGAAUCAUUACGAUGAAGAAGAGAAUUUUCGUAGAGCCCAUUCUUUGAUUUAUCAUUUUGAUCUCUUCAACGAAGGUGAUGAAAAUCUUAAUUUCUAAACAGAGUAUUUAUGUUUACAAUUUUUUGGGCGCUGCUUUCGUUUCUGAUUUACAUGAUUUACAUAGUUUUCACAAAUAUUCCUGGUAUAUAUUCAUAAUUUACACAGUUUUCACAAAUAUGUAAAGAUAACAAUAGAAAUAUCACUGUCGUCGUGUUUAUGUUCGUUCGCUUGAGUUUUGCUUUUCCGUUUUUGCUUUGUUCCCC